UCCCUUCAACUAUUUAAUGAAGGCUGGGAAGAGGAAACAGGAGUAGAGAUACCUGCCAGCAAAUCAACUGUACUUCGUGGCCAUGAAUCUGAAGUUUUCAUCUGCGCCUGAACCCAACAACUGAUUUAUUGGCUUCUGGCUCUGGUGAUAGUACUGCCAGAAUUUUGAACAUGAAUGACAACUCGUCUUCACCAACUCAACUUGUUAUUAGGCAUUUCAUUCAGAAGGGUGGAACUGAAGUUCCGAGCAACAAAAAUGUCACCUCACUUGACUGUGUGAUGGAACUCUGCUUGCAACUGGCUCUUACGAUGAUUACGCUCGCAUUUGGACAACUGAUGGAAGAUUAGCUAGCACUUUGGGACAGCAUAAAGGACCUACUGUCGCACUAAAAUGGAACAAAAAUGGCAACUAUAUCCUCAGUGCUGGAUUCGACAAAACGACCAUUUGGGACGCUUCAACGAGUCAGUGCACGCAGCAGUUUGCUUUCCAUUCCGCCCCAGCACUCGACGUAGAUUGGCAGUCGAAUGUCAGUUUUGCCUCAUGCUCCACUGACCAGUGUAUUCAUGUUUGGAAGUAAAAUCUAGGUAGCCUACAAUCAAUGAAACUGCGGUGUGCUGAUUGCGGCUGAUUUUUUCAAGCAUAUGUUAUCAAGCGAUCAAUUCAGAUCAGGUGUAAUAUCAAUUUUACAUUUUCCUGGACGCAAAAUUUGUUGUUUUGCUUUAAAACUGGAUCGACAAUCAACAGUAUACAGCCUUGACGGGGGAUCAAUCAGCACAUGGAAAAAUGAGGGUUCAAAUUAUUU
This 802-nucleotide unclassified non-coding RNA is filed under the name Daphnia pulex (common water flea). Its description in RNAcentral is "f-box-like/WD repeat-containing protein ebi, transcript variant X1". Lineage: Eukaryota; Metazoa; Arthropoda; Branchiopoda; Diplostraca; Daphniidae. The record is from RNAcentral.